GCAAUAGAAUGGCUUUAUGGGCGGUCGGCUAAUCUCCCGGAAGGGAGGUGAUGCCAGUGAGCGUAUACGAAGCGCUAUCCGUUAUGUUCCAAUUUGGACUUUGGAUAUUCGCGUUACUGACGUUUGUCGUGACGCUGCUGAUAUACCUGCACACAAAAAAAUAGGCCGCCCCCAAGCUAAGGUCACGGCCUAUUCAGGUAUUACCUUGGUUGUAAGCCACCGCCUUUGAAGCGGCUAUUGCGAAAGAGUCGUGUUGCAGCACGGCUC
Paenibacillus dendritiformis C454 is the source of this 267-nucleotide small RNA. It matches the Rfam family "BsrG". From Rfam's summary of the family: bsrE, bsrG and bsrH pair through intermolecular interactions with antisense sRNAs. NCBI's taxonomy places the organism in Bacteria, Bacillati, Bacillota, Bacilli, Caryophanales, Paenibacillaceae. The record is from Rfam.